Molecule: transfer RNA, 72 nt
Filed under: Camelus bactrianus (Bactrian camel)
Lineage: Eukaryota; Metazoa; Chordata; Mammalia; Artiodactyla; Camelidae
Also listed under: 1 other name
Rfam family: tRNA
About the family: Transfer RNA (tRNA) molecules are approximately 80 nucleotides in length. Their secondary structure includes four short double-helical elements and three loops (D, anti-codon, and T loops). Further hydrogen bonds mediate the characteristic L-shaped molecular structure. tRNAs have two regions of fundamental functional importance: the anti-codon, which is responsible for specific mRNA codon recognition, and the 3' end, to which the tRNAs corresponding amino acid is attached (by aminoacyl-tRNA synthetases). tRNAs cope with the degeneracy of the genetic code in two manners: having more than one tRNA (with a specific anti-codon) for a particular amino acid; and 'wobble' base-pairing, i.e. permitting non-standard base-pairing at the 3rd anti-codon position.
Source: Rfam by way of RNAcentral
GUGGGUAUAGCUCAGUCAUAGAGUACAUACUUGGCAUGCAUGAGGUCCUGGGUUCAAUCCCCAGGACCUUCA